RNAcentral lists this ribosomal RNA (677 nucleotides) under uncultured Vibrionaceae bacterium. RNAcentral's name for it is "bacterial SSU rRNA". It matches the Rfam family "Bacterial small subunit ribosomal RNA", at positions 1 to 671 of the family's 1533-position model. Lineage: Bacteria; Pseudomonadati; Pseudomonadota; Gammaproteobacteria; Vibrionales; Vibrionaceae. The record is from RNAcentral.
UAGAGUUUGAUCAUGGCUCAGAUUGAACGCUGGCGGCAGGCCUAACACAUGCAAGUCGAGCGGUAACAGAAAGAAAGCUUGCUUUCUUUGCUGACGAGCGGCGGACGGGUGAGUAAUGCCUGGGAAUAUACCCUGAUGUGGGGGAUAACUAUUGGAAACGAUAGCUAAUACCGCAUAAUCUCUUCGGAGCAAAGAGGGGGACCUUCGGGCCUCUCGCGUCAGGAUUAGCCCAGGUGGGAUUAGCUAGUUGGUGGGGUAAUGGCUCACCAAGGCAACGAUCCCUAGCUGGUCUGAGAGGAUGAUCAGCCACACUGGAACUGAGACACGGUCCAGACUCCUACGGGAGGCAGCAGUGGGGAAUAUUGCACAAUGGGGGAAACCCUGAUGCAGCCAUGCCGCGUGUAUGAAGAAGGCCUUCGGGUUGUAAAGUACUUUCAGUUGUGAGGAAGGCGUUAAAGUUAAUAGCUUUAGCGUUUGACGUUAGCAACAGAAGAAGCACCGGCUAACUCCGUGCCAGCAGCCGCGGUAAUACGGAGGGUGCGAGCGUUAAUCGGAAUUACUGGGCGUAAAGCGCAUGCAGGCGGUCUGUUAAGCAAGAUGUGAAAGCCCGGGGCUCAACCUCGGAACAGCAUUUUGAACUGGCAGACUAGAGUCCUGUAGAGGGGGGUAGAAUUUCA